AGGUUAUACGUUGACAUUAUGUGGCAGCAGAUGGCGCUCUUAGUACUAUAUUUAUAAAGAUAUAUACAUGUAAUAUAAGAUGGAGUCAUUAUUGCAAAUAAGUGCAUGUAUUCUCCAAUUUUAUAACAUUUUAGUUUCUGUUAUACUAGAUUAUAAAACGUACUAAUGAGAGGAUAAAUAAUAAAGUGGAGAGUAAAAGUUAUACAAAACAUUAGACUAUGCAGUGAGUUUUUGAGUCAUAAAAAGGAGGAUUGCCGUUUUCCAUGGGAUACGAUUUCCUGCUUGGUUUUCCAACGUUUGCCUCCUUUCAUCCCCGGUUCCAGGAGGGUGGAACAAAAACGAGCGUCCAGAGGGUAAUAGGGAGAAGAAAUUCCGAGUUGGCGAAGGACCAAUAUGGCCACAGCACGGUUGCCAUGGUUACAUCGGGUGUAGUUGCCUCAGGAACGGGGAUCCCAUCAUCCGUG
Molecule: long non-coding RNA, 464 nt
Organism: Bombus pyrosoma
Lineage: Eukaryota; Metazoa; Arthropoda; Insecta; Hymenoptera; Apidae
Exons: 3
Source: RefSeq, a predicted model, not a curated record